UCCUUUGCCUGCCACAGUAACUGCUGAAUGUCCUUAACUUUGGACAAAACAACAGCCCUAGCACUAGUUAUGAGGGGCAGAUGGUUUUACGGGCAGCAGAGAAGGUGGACGUAUCAGAUACUGGCCAUCCUGUCAUGCUGGAGCAAGCCGGAUCGAGGAGCAAGCAUGGAGAGGGAAUGAUGCUGGUCCUGAAAGACCCUAAAAGCAAAGCAGGUUCCAGAAACAUGUCCAUAUAUGGUCUACUUGUCAGGGACAAUAAAUAAUGAUGUAAUAGAAAGGUCAACUUUGUGUCAUUUAGCUACGGGAUGCUUGAUGAAGUGAAGUUCUUCAGAUAAUGCAACAAAGAAGAACUUUAGGAUGGGUAAAAGUUUCUGCCGUGCAUCUUCAAACAGGAAAUCUGAGAUUCAGAACAACUUAUAUUUUGGCUUGUAUUCACUGAUCAUGGGGUGAUCCAGAAAUAAACUCCAGGCUUCAAAGCGAGAGUGUUUCAAAGCUGUCCUGCAGUUGAUCGAAACAUCCAGGCAAAGCAGGGAGAUGAAUACCAGCAAGGAUUUUCUGAAUUAAGACUUAAUCAAGGAGAUAACCCAUUUCAACAGUACUAUUACCCUUUUAUUUCAGAACAAAAAGGUAA
Long non-coding RNA from Aptenodytes forsteri (emperor penguin), 631 nucleotides. RefSeq lists it as uncharacterized. Lineage: Eukaryota; Metazoa; Chordata; Aves; Sphenisciformes; Spheniscidae. The transcript has 2 exons. The record is from RefSeq and is a predicted model, not a curated record.